GCUGGGUGUGGUGGCUCACACCUGUAAUCCCAGCACUUUGGGAGGCUGAGGCGGGUGGAUCACCUGAGGUCAGGAGUUCGAGACCAGCCUGACCAACAUGGAGAAACCCCAUCUCUA
This is a non-coding RNA of Gorilla gorilla gorilla (western lowland gorilla), 117 nucleotides long. It matches the Rfam family "Metazoan signal recognition particle RNA". From Rfam's summary of the family: The signal recognition particle (SRP) is a universally conserved ribonucleoprotein. The record is from Rfam. NCBI's taxonomy places the organism in Eukaryota, Metazoa, Chordata, Mammalia, Primates, Hominidae.